RNAcentral lists this unclassified non-coding RNA (196 nucleotides) under uncultured Ascobolus. RNAcentral's name for it is "sequence contains ITS1". Lineage: Eukaryota; Fungi; Ascomycota; Pezizomycetes; Pezizales; Ascobolaceae. The record is from RNAcentral.
AAAAAAUACGCCUGGUAAAAGUGUAAAAACGCUGGAUCCAGUGCUGUAUACAACCACCUGUUUACCUUUACCUGUUGCUUCCGUGGAAUUACGGGUGCUCUUCCUGUUCACAAGGCAGGCUCGAGUUACCUUCCACGGGUGUAUUUAAAAAAUUGUUUUUGUAUUAUUGUCUGAUUUAAAAUUUUAAUAAAAGUUA